UGUGGCAUGCCAAUGGCUACAUCCUAAUUACACCACCUCGGUGAUUAGAAUAUAAAGUAGGCAUUGUUGGUGAGUUAGAUUGUUUGGGAAUGCAGUAAAUUCUUCCCAAAGCUAAAUACUAAUAAGAGGUCGACAGGGAAUAAGUACCAUGAGAGAAAGAUGAAAGGACUUUGAAAAUAGAAUUAAAUACUGCUUAAAAUUAUUGGGAGGGAAUUAGAUGGAGGCCAAAGAUGCCCAAUGGUCAAAUGCGAAAUGAGGAGAACUAGUGUGCCACUUGGCUUGAGGAGUAGACUGAUGCGAUUGUGACAAUGCCCUGAGCUCAAACUGUCAUGUUAUACUCAAUGAGACAUGUUGUGACCAUGGAAGGAAGCACACACCCUAGGCAUGUCUCAAUACCUAUUGGUUCCCCAUUUGGCCUAUCUUGAAACAUGGACAAGAAGCCUAAAAUGUGCAUGAAUCAAUGGGUGAAUAAACUUUGUAAGAUGCAAGGAAGUUGAUUGGCGGAAUCCCCUCAUGCAUUGGACAACCAAUUAACUUAGAUCUUUUGAGAAGAGUUUGAGAAAAAGCAUGUUUGUUAAGAUCCGAAAGAUGGUGAACUAUGAUUGAGUGUGGUGAAGCCAAAUUGAAUUUUGGUGGAGGCCUGCAACGAUAUUAGCGUGCAAAUCAUUCAUUUGACUUGGGUAUAAGGGAAAAAGACUAAUCAAACCUUCUACUAGUUGGUUCCCUUCGAAGCUUCCCUCAAAAUUUCUAGAGCCCAAGUGUGAACUCUAUCCGGUAAAGUCAAUGAUUAGAGGCAUUGGAGGUGCAACUCUAAUGAGCCAUGCCAUGGAAUUGAGAACACUAAGUGGGGCAUUUUUUGUAAGAAGAACCGAUGAUGUGGGGUGAUUCAAAAGCUAGGUUAGGGUGCUUAAUUAUGUGCUAACCUAGAACCCACAAAGUGUAUCACUUAAUUAAGGCAAUAGGGUAUAGCCAUAGAAGCCAAAAUUUGCAAAGGAGUGUGUAAUAACUCACCUACCAAAUCAUCUAGCCCUCAAAAUGGAUGUUCUGUAUUGUUUAGCUCACACUCAUUAGACAGCGUGGGCAAUACAAGCUUCAAAAGGUAAUUAUGUUAAAAUUCCCAAACCAAGGCAUGACAUUUAAUGGCAAGGUUAGGGAGUUUGGAUACAUCAAUGCGGGCCCCAAGAAAAGUUAUCUUUACUUUUUAACAACUUACAUCCUAUAAUUGGCUCAGUUGGAGGUAGGGUUUAGGGUUUAGUGCCGAAUGAGCACUGCACGUUGCUUGGUGUUCCAAUGUGCCCCUUAGUGACCCUUGAAAUUCCAGAGAUCCAAGUGCCAAUCAUGAUCAGAUCUCUAUGGUAAACAUCCUCUAGUC
This 1372-nucleotide non-coding RNA is filed under the name Nelumbo nucifera (sacred lotus). Its description in RNAcentral is "Eukaryotic large subunit ribosomal RNA". It matches the Rfam family "Eukaryotic large subunit ribosomal RNA", at positions 197 to 1888 of the family's 3401-position model. The record is from Rfam by way of RNAcentral. Lineage: Eukaryota; Viridiplantae; Streptophyta; Magnoliopsida; Proteales; Nelumbonaceae.